RNAcentral lists this ribosomal RNA (892 nucleotides) under uncultured organism. RNAcentral's name for it is "bacterial SSU rRNA". It matches the Rfam family "Bacterial small subunit ribosomal RNA", at positions 626 to 1510 of the family's 1533-position model. The record is from RNAcentral.
GGGUAUACUGCAGGCCUUGAGGCCGGUAGAGGUUGCCGGGAACUGUAGGUGUAGCGGUGAAAUGCGUAGAUAUCUACAGGAACACCAAAGACGAAGGUAGGCAACUGGGCCGGUUCUGACGCUCAGGCACGAAAGCGUGGGGAGCAAACAGGAUUAGAUACCCUGGUAGUCCACGCCGUAAACGAUGUGCACUAGAUUCGAGAGGCUCUGACGCCAUUCGGGUCGAAGCAAAAGUGUUAAGUGCACCGCCUGGGGAGUACGGUCGCAAGGCUAAAACUCAAAGGAAUUGACGGGGGCUCACACAAGCGGUGGAGCAUGUGGCUUAAUUCGAAGCAACGCGAAGAACCUUAUCCUGGGUUUGACAUGCACGGAUACCCUCGCCGAAAGGCGAGUAAGUUGCCCAUUCGGGUGAAACGUGCACAGGUGCUGCAUGGCUGUCGUCAGCUCGUGCUGUGAAGUGUUGGGUUAAGUCCCUUAACGAGCGAAACCCCUGUCGCUAGUUACUAACAGGUCUCCGGACGCUGAGGACUCUAGCGAGACUGCCGGUGUCAAACCGGAGGAAGGCGGGGAUGACGUCAAGUCCUCAUGGCCUUUAUGCCCAGGGCUGCACACGUGCUACAAUGGCGUGAACAGAGCGACGCAAUACCGUAAGGUGGAGCAAAUCGCAAAAAUCACGCCCCAGUUCGGAUCGAGGUCUGCAACUCGACCUCGUGAAGGUGGAAUCGCUAGUAAUCGCGCAUCAGCAAUGGCGCGGUGAAUACGUUCCUGAGCCUUGUACACACCGCCCGUCAAGUCAUGGAAGCCGGGAGUGCCCGAAGUCGCACCGUUUCAGGUGUGCCUACGGCAAGCUCGGUGACUGGGACUAAGUCGUAACAAGGUAACCAAGGGCGAA